UUUCUUGCCGUGCGUGUCGAUGCCAAGCAAUGAGUGGAGAGAGCUCCAGGGAUAUGAUUGUUUCUGUCCCCGGGUAGACAAGGUGCCUGGUUGCAUCCAUUCGUGGGCUGAAAAUUGGUGGCUGGUUGCAGCAUUCCCUUGCCAACUAAUGCAAUUGGAGUGUAGCCCUGACAUGCAGACGAGGACAAAGUGCUUCUGUUCGACCCGUCUUGAAACACGGACCAAGGAGUCUGACACUCAUGCAAGCUCGUUGGUGGGUAAACUUGUUCGCGUAAUUAACGUGUCUGUUGUGAUUUGUGCAGCACGCCCGACCAAUCAUUGAGAGAGGUUUGAGUGUGAGCAUUUCUGUCAGGACCCGAAAGAUGGUGAACUAUGCCUGAGAAGGGUAAAUUCAGGGGAAACUCUGAUUGAGGCUCGUAGCGAUACUGACGUG
RNAcentral lists this ribosomal RNA (433 nucleotides) under Prorocentrum lima. RNAcentral's name for it is "partial large subunit ribosomal RNA". It matches the Rfam family "Eukaryotic large subunit ribosomal RNA", at positions 439 to 893 of the family's 3401-position model. Lineage: Eukaryota; Dinophyceae; Prorocentrales; Prorocentraceae. The record is from RNAcentral.